RNAcentral lists this ribosomal RNA (435 nucleotides) under Triticum aestivum (bread wheat). RNAcentral describes it as "partial small subunit ribosomal RNA". Lineage: Eukaryota; Viridiplantae; Streptophyta; Magnoliopsida; Poales; Poaceae. The record is from RNAcentral.
AUGUUCUGCACUUCUUUGAACUUCAUCCUCAAGACAUUGGACCCAAUUUCAUGUCAAAUAUCUGCAACUUCCAAGUUUUCUAGUGAAGUAUACCUUCAAGAGGAGCCCAGUGUCGAACUGUUCAGAGAAUAUUUUUAUUUCAACCGCCAAAAUGAGUUUACAAAUGGACCCAGCUUGGAACUUGGUGGAAUCUCAAUUCAAAGAGAAGAGAUGCCGUCUUUCCUUACGCUUGCUUGCCGAGUCACCCAAAAGAUUGGAACCGGACAUGGUUCUAUUUCCAAGGCACUUCUCCGGCUGGCGAGAAUCCACUGUUGGGUUACCGGGCCCAACGUCUUGACUCCAAACACAAUCUUCCUGAGAAGCUUACAGCUGCUGAACGUAAAAAACUCGCCCCCACCAUCACCAAGGUCAAGGCACUGCUGGGAAACGACUUAA